This 261-nucleotide ribosomal RNA is filed under the name uncultured bacterium. Its description in RNAcentral is "partial 16S ribosomal RNA". It matches the Rfam family "Bacterial small subunit ribosomal RNA", at positions 793 to 1055 of the family's 1533-position model. The record is from RNAcentral.
GUCCACGCUGUAAACGAUGAGAACUAGAUGUUGGGAGGGUUUGCCUCUCAGUGUCGCAGCUAACGCGCUAAGUUCUCCGCCUGGGAGUACGGCCGCAAGGUUGAACUCAAAGGAAUUGACGGGGACCCGCACAAGCGGUGGAGCAUGUGGUUUAAUUCGAUGCAACGCGAAGAACCUUACCUGGUCUUGACAUCCCAGGAACCUCGCAGAGAUGUGGGGGUGCCUUCGGGAACCUGGAGACAGGUGCUGCAUGGCUGUCGU